RNAcentral lists this ribosomal RNA (401 nucleotides) under uncultured bacterium. RNAcentral's name for it is "bacterial SSU rRNA". It matches the Rfam family "Bacterial small subunit ribosomal RNA", at positions 29 to 458 of the family's 1533-position model. The record is from RNAcentral.
AACGAACGCUGGCGGCAUGCCUAACACAUGCAAGUCGAACGAGACCUUCGGGUCUAGUGGCGCACGGGUGCGUAACGCGUGGGAAUCUGCCCUUGGGUUCGGAAUAACAGUUAGAAAUGACUGCUAAUACCGGAUGAUGUCUUCGGACCAAAGAUUUAUCGCCCAGGGAUGAGCCCGCGUAGGAUUAGCUAGUUGGUGGGGGUAAAGGCCUACCAAGGCGACGAUCCUUAGCUGGUCUGAGAGGAUGAUCAGCCACACUGGGACUGAGACACGGCCCAGACUCCUACGGGAGGCAGCAGUGGGGAAUAUUGGACAAUGGGCGAAAGCCUGAUCAGCAAUGCCGCGUGAGUGAUGGAGGCCGUUAGGUUGUAAACUCUUUACCGGAUGAUAAUGACAGUACC